Molecule: ribosomal RNA, 133 nt
Filed under: uncultured bacterium
Lineage: Bacteria
Description: partial 16S ribosomal RNA
Rfam family: Bacterial small subunit ribosomal RNA
Source: RNAcentral
GGGGAAUUUUGCACAAUGGGCGCAAGCCUGAUGCAGCAACGCCGCGUGAGUGACGACGCCUUUCGAGGUGUAAAGCUCUGUCGAACGGGACGAAGACUUCGUUGUGAACAGCUUCGGAGGAUGACGGUACCGU